GGGGAUUUAGCUCAGUGGCAUAAGUGCCUGCCUUGCAAGCAGGCAGUCCAUGAGUUCAAUCCCUG
Cavia porcellus (domestic guinea pig) is the source of this 65-nucleotide transfer RNA. It matches the Rfam family "tRNA". From Rfam's summary of the family: Transfer RNA (tRNA) molecules are approximately 80 nucleotides in length. Their secondary structure includes four short double-helical elements and three loops (D, anti-codon, and T loops). Further hydrogen bonds mediate the characteristic L-shaped molecular structure. tRNAs have two regions of fundamental functional importance: the anti-codon, which is responsible for specific mRNA codon recognition, and the 3' end, to which the tRNAs corresponding amino acid is attached (by aminoacyl-tRNA synthetases). tRNAs cope with the degeneracy of the genetic code in two manners: having more than one tRNA (with a specific anti-codon) for a particular amino acid; and 'wobble' base-pairing, i.e. permitting non-standard base-pairing at the 3rd anti-codon position. The record is from Rfam. Lineage: Eukaryota; Metazoa; Chordata; Mammalia; Rodentia; Caviidae.